Long non-coding RNA from Nymphaea colorata (pocket water lily), 1929 nucleotides. RefSeq lists it as uncharacterized. The record is from RefSeq and is a predicted model, not a curated record. The transcript is spliced from 5 exons. Lineage: Eukaryota; Viridiplantae; Streptophyta; Magnoliopsida; Nymphaeales; Nymphaeaceae.
UUGUAGAUAUGACUUCGACUGAAUAAGUCGAGCUGGGUCUACCACAUUUUACUUUACCAUCACAUGAAAUCCACCAGAAAUGCUGCUUUCAAAUGAAAUUAAAUCCAAAAUUCAAAUGAUCGGUGGAGCGGUCGGUCAUCCAAGAAUGGAAGUAACCGUUUCUUGAUUUCUUUUAGUUGCUGUUGAUCGUGGUUGUCCAGAAGCUUCCGUUCCGUCUCUUGCCUCUCCCGCGCUUCCAGCCCUCCACCACCACAACCGCUCGCUUUCCCGCCGGCGCUCUCCACCACCACUGCCGCUCGCUCUCCCGCCGGCGCUCUCCACCACCACCGCUGCUCGCUCUCCAGCCAUCGACCUCCACCACCACCGUCGUGCCCCGAAGUGAAUGGCAAUUUGCGAACGAGGGUUUUAAUCGAGGAGUCUCGAUUCAUCUCAAGCUGCAUUAUCUACGACUCUAAAUAUUGUAAGCUACCUUGAGGGUUUUCUCCCCAAAACUUCAAGAUCGGUGGUUUCAUGGAGUUGAAGUUUUAAUUGGUUGCUAAAGGUGGAUGUUAGGUUGCUUGAGGAACAAGCUUUCCUGUACGUUUGGAGGCUCUGAAUCAAACAUUGUUUUACACAGUGGGCACAACAGAGUUUCACUUGUGGGCUGUCAUGGAAGUUUUCUGAGGGAUGUUCUCUUUGAUUUGGCAAAUAGGCUGCCGAUAUUUCAGUUUUUUGCUUGUACAUUUUCUCUUGAUAUUGUUGUUUUGUUUCCAUAUCUGGAAUCCUUUCAAUCUUUAAUGCAAUUGUAAUCCGGGUUCAUGAGACUUGAAGUUACAGUUGUAAUUUACAACUUUAGUUUAUUCAUUAUGUUGAAUAAUUGAAGUGUUGGCAAUCCCAUCUUUUUAAUGGAUGCACUCCGAUUAAUGUUUGUGUGGAAUACAUGGUGCUAAGCCAUGUUCAAAUCUGUUGUUGGUUUCUGCUAAUAUUGGCCUCUAUAUUUAAAACAUCAAGAACAAUGGACUCGGUGGGAUUCCUUCUAGUAGUAUGAAGAUGAACAUCUGCCUUUGGAUAAGGGCACAGUGCCUCAUACAUUCAUUGCUUGUACAUCGUGUUAGUUCUUCCUUUUGCAUAUGUAUCGAUAGAUGGUUUUUAUUGGUUGCUACUAAUGUUGCCCUCUAAUUAAAGCUUGAUGAACACUGAACUCAGGGUUCCUUCCAAAAGUACUCUAGUGUGAUCUUCUUUUGGGUAAAGACGCCAUGUACUUAAAUGAAUUGCUAGUUCUUUGCUGCUUAUUUCAGCUUGAGUUUUUAUUACAAUGAGUUCGUAGUUUGUUUUUUAUUAAAACUUUGGUUUUUAUUGCACUACACAUACUUUCACUUGUUUUUUUUAAUUGUUUGUAGCAAAUUUUGAAGUGCAUGCAUUCUUCUAUAUUCUUUUCAUGUUGUAUGGUUAUAAUUUUUUUCUGAUAUCAUUUAUUAGCAAUUCUUUUGGUACUGCCAAACUAUGGGCUAGCUCUACAUUUGUGACAAUGUUAGAGAAGGUUUUAGUUACUGAAAGCAAAUUUUUGGGCCUUGUUGAUUGUCCAUCAAAGUUUAGGCUGUUUGAUUUGGCUAUAGAAUGUUUGGAUGAUAUGCUUUUCAGCACAAGUUAAAAAAAUGGUUCUCUGUUGGUUAAAUGCACAAGGCUUGUGAAGGAUAUAUCUAGUCUACUACUGGUCAGAUUGCAUGCCUUCUUGUUUCUUGUUCAACCAUUAUUCAUCUUAAGCCAUAUAUAUAUCAUUGUCUUUUUGUAGCUCUUGUUUAGUCGCUCUACGCUCUUCCAUCUCAAUAAGAGCAGAGUUAGAUUCCUAAGCUGAAGAGUUCUUUCUAUUUUUCUUUCUUUCCAUUCUUAAGUGCUGCAUUAUGUAGAUAUACUAUAUUGGCCAGUUAGUUUAUAAAACUAUUUUUUUGG